Molecule: transfer RNA, 69 nt
Filed under: bovine gut metagenome
Rfam family: tRNA
About the family: Transfer RNA (tRNA) molecules are approximately 80 nucleotides in length.
Source: RNAcentral
UGAUAUGGCUCAGUCGGUAGAGCGUCGCCUUGGUAAGGCGGAGGUCACGGGUUCGAUUCCCGUUAUCAG